AACGAACGCUGGCGGCAGGCCUAACACAUGCAAGUCGAGCGCGCCCUUCGGGGUGAGCGGCGGACGGGUGAGUAACGCGUGGGAACGUGCCCUUUUCUACGGAAUAGCCUCGGGAAACUGAGAGUAAUACCGUAUACGCCCUUUGGGGGAAAGAUUUAUCGGAAAAGGAUCGGCCCGCGUUGGAUUAGGUAGUUGGUGGGGUAAUGGCCUACCAAGCCGACGAUCCAUAGCUGGUUUGAGAGGAUGAUCGGCCACACUGGGACUGAGACACGGCCCAGACUCCUACGGGAGGCAGCAGUGGGGAAUCUUAGACAAUGGGGGCAACCCUGAUCGAGCCAUGCCGCGUGAGUGAUGAAGGCCUUAGGGUUGUAAAGCUCUUUCAGCUGGGAAGAUAAUGACGGUACCAGCAGAAGAAGCCCCGGCUAACUCCGUG
Molecule: ribosomal RNA, 433 nt
Filed under: uncultured bacterium
Lineage: Bacteria
Description: partial 16S ribosomal RNA
Rfam family: Bacterial small subunit ribosomal RNA
Source: RNAcentral